Small nucleolar RNA from Sciurus vulgaris (Eurasian red squirrel), 126 nucleotides. Lineage: Eukaryota; Metazoa; Chordata; Mammalia; Rodentia; Sciuridae. The record is from Ensembl.
AAAGCAGAUUUCAAUUAUGGUAUUUCUUUUCAUUGAAAUAUUUCAAUUAUCCUACUAAAAGUCAUGCUCAUCCAUUUUCACUUUGCUUUUAAGAGGUUAAAAUCAUGACAGAUUGAUAAAACAAGA